ACGUGCAUAUCACGUUGAAACACUGGUUCUCGUACGAUCGCCAAAGUUAAGCAUCGUCGAGUCUGCCAGUACCUAGAUGGGUGACCGUUUGUGAAUACCUGGUGCU
Molecule: non-coding RNA, 106 nt
Organism: Acanthosepion pharaonis
Lineage: Eukaryota; Metazoa; Mollusca; Cephalopoda; Sepiida; Sepiidae
Source: the annotation of a GenBank genome assembly